This is a long non-coding RNA of Musa acuminata subsp. malaccensis (wild Malaysian banana), 789 nucleotides long. RefSeq lists it as uncharacterized. Lineage: Eukaryota; Viridiplantae; Streptophyta; Magnoliopsida; Zingiberales; Musaceae. The record is from RefSeq and is a predicted model, not a curated record.
UUAUGAACUCGACGUGAUUAUACUACAAUGUCACGUUUAUUGUCACGAGGAAGCUCAAAAUUUGGAUCUUGUUGGGUCAUCCUGGAGAUGCGAUCCAACAGGAUAAUGCUCAUGAACUCCACUUAUGGUAUGUUUGUUAGUGCUUACUGCCAAAGAAGGCGUGAAUGAUGUUUGGUUGAGUGAUCUCUACAAGCAAGGAAGUUUGCUGGAUGAGUACACACAACCAGCUUUGACUACGAUGUACAUAAAUGUGGAUAUGAUUGACAAAUGGUGGUCUUGGUUUGAAAAGUUCAUGACAAAUGAUUCUAAAAAAGCUUCUUCUUGUUGCUUAUCCAGGCAAAAGCUGACUGUUGUGUGUUAAAUAAAUUUGAUGAUAAAGGCUUAAAGGACACGAGUGGACUGCAUUAAGGCUGGUGAAAAGUUUGAUGGCAUGGCAAUUGUGUCAAAAAAGUGGACUUAUGGUUCUUUAAUACAGACGAUAUCACUGCUGAACUACCUCAUAGAGCAGUGAGCUAUAUCAAAAAAACUGCAAGAGGGAGGUUUGCAAAGUGGCCGCAUUCUGUAUUCAGGUUAUUUUUGUAUGGAAGUAGUUGAACCAUCAGCAGAACACCUUGGAGACCAAGCAUGCACAGCUGACCAUCUUUUGCUCCCACCAAAGGUGACAUCUGUUCUCAUUUAAGGGAAAUGCACAGCAUGUGUGUCAAAGAACACUCUACCAACCAAGAAAUACAUUGCCGGCAUACGAAACUGGAAUGGGUUGGAGCAGCAAGAGAAAUGAUUCAGACACGG